CUACGUAGGGGGCGAGCGUUGUCCGGAAUGAUUGGGCGUAAAGGGCGCGUAGGCGGCCCGGUAAGUCUGGAGUGAAAGUCCUGUUUUUAAGAUGGGAAUUGCUUUGGAUACUGUCGGGCUUGAGUGCAGGAGAGGUAAGUGGAAUUCCCAGUGUAGCGGUGAAAUGCGUAGAGAUUGGGAGGAACACCAGUGGCGAAGGCGACUUACUGUACUGUAACUGACGCUGAGGCGCGAAAGUGUGGGGAGCAAACAGGAUUAGAUACCCUGGUAGUCCACACUGUAAACGAUGAAUGCUAGGUGUAGGGGGUAUCGACCCCUUCUGUGCCGCAGUCAACACAAUAAGCAUUCCGCCUGGGGAGUACGGCCGCAAGGUUGAAACUCAAAUGAAUUGACGGGG
RNAcentral lists this ribosomal RNA (397 nucleotides) under uncultured bacterium. Its description in RNAcentral is "partial 16S ribosomal RNA". It matches the Rfam family "Bacterial small subunit ribosomal RNA", at positions 523 to 918 of the family's 1533-position model. The record is from RNAcentral.